Molecule: ribosomal RNA, 169 nt
Filed under: Gerres decacanthus (small Chinese silver-biddy)
Lineage: Eukaryota; Metazoa; Chordata; Actinopteri; Gerreiformes; Gerreidae
Description: partial 12S rRNA
Source: RNAcentral
CACCGCGGUUAUACGAGAGGCCCAAGUUGACAGUCACCGGCGUAAAGCGUGGUUAGGAUAUAAUCAAAAACUAAAGUCGAACUCCUUCAAGGCCGUUUAAAGUGUUCGAUACGGAGAAGCUCAACUACGAAAGUGACUUUAUUUUUCUGACGCCACGAAAGCUAAGGCA